UUGAAGGGCUGCAGUAUAUUGACUGUACAAAGGUAGCAUAAUCAUUAGUCAUUUAAUUGGUGACUUGAAUGAAGGAUUGGAUGAAAUAUAAACUGUCUCUUAGUUAUAUUUUUAUAGAAUUUAAUUUUUUUAUUAAAAAGUUAAGAUAAUUUAAAAAGACGAGAAGACCCUAUAGAGUUUUAUAAAUAUUAUAAUUAAGAUUAUUUUGUAGAUUAAAUUUAAAAUUAGAAUUGUUUAUUUUAUUGGGGUGAUAGAAAAAUAUAUAAAACUUUUUUUAUAUAAUAUAUAUAUAUAUAUAUAUAUAUAUAACAUUUAUAAAUGAUUAAAUGAUCCAAUAAUAUUGAUUGUAAGAAAAAAUUACCUUAGGGAUAACAGCGUAAUU
This 382-nucleotide ribosomal RNA is filed under the name Conicofrontia diamesa. RNAcentral's name for it is "partial 16S large subunit ribosomal RNA". The record is from RNAcentral. Lineage: Eukaryota; Metazoa; Arthropoda; Insecta; Lepidoptera; Noctuidae.